GGAGAUGGGACACUGGAUGGGGAGAAGUCUGAGUUACCACAGUGAAUUCUUUUCCUGGCGUCUGGCUGGUGGGUCUUGCUCACAUGCUCUGGGUCUAACUGAUUGCCAUAUUUGGGGUCAUAAAGGAAAUUGGCAGAGGCCCUGGGGGUUUUUCACCUUCCUCUGCAGCGUGGGGCA
This is a long non-coding RNA of Chelonia mydas (Green sea turtle), 177 nucleotides long. RefSeq lists it as uncharacterized. The transcript has 4 exons. NCBI's taxonomy places the organism in Eukaryota, Metazoa, Chordata, Testudines, Cheloniidae. The record is from RefSeq and is a predicted model, not a curated record.